RNAcentral lists this ribosomal RNA (337 nucleotides) under uncultured bacterium. Its description in RNAcentral is "bacterial SSU rRNA". It matches the Rfam family "Bacterial small subunit ribosomal RNA", at positions 1 to 334 of the family's 1533-position model. The record is from RNAcentral.
GUACAGUUCAGAGUUUGAUCCUGGCUCAGGACGAACGCUGGCGGCGUGCUUAACACAUGCAAGUCGAACGAUGAAGCCCAGCUUGCUGGGUGGAUUAGUGGCGAACGGGUGAGUAACACGUGAGUAACCUGCCCCCCUCUUCGGGAUAACCGCGAGAAAUCGUGUCUAAUACCGGAUAUGCACAUGUGCCCGCAUGGGUGUGUGUGGAAAGACUGUGUCGGUGGGGGAUGGGCUCGCGGCCUAUCAGCUUGUUGGUGGGGUGAUGGCCUACCAAGGCGACGACGGGUAGCCGGCCUGAGAGGGUGACCGGCCACACUGGGACUGAGACACGGCCCAG